UACGCAGGGGGCUAGCGUUGCUCGGAAUCACUGGGCGUAAAGGGUGCGUAGGCGGGUCUUUAAGUCAGGGGGGAAAUCCUGGAGCUCAACUCCAGAACUGCCUUUGAUACUGAGGAUCUUGAGUUCGGGAGAGGUGAGUGGAACUGCGAGUGUAGAGGUGAAAUUCGUAGAUAUUCGCAAGAACACCAGUGGCGAAGGCGGCUCACUGGCCCGAUACUGACGCUGAGGCACGAAAGCGUGGGGAGCAAACAGG
Molecule: ribosomal RNA, 253 nt
Filed under: uncultured bacterium
Lineage: Bacteria
Description: partial 16S ribosomal RNA
Rfam family: Bacterial small subunit ribosomal RNA
Source: RNAcentral